CAAGAAUUGUUGGGCUUAAAAAUCCAGGAUGGUGUUGUUAAUGCAACAUCUCUGUUUGAAGAGUUGGUGACUGUAGUUUUUGGAAACUAUAGUGAUGGGCUAAUCUACCAGACUGUGGAGCUGCCUCAGAAUGGCGAGUUUUCUUGUGCCAAUGAAACUGGUUCUCAUAGAUCGUAAAGGAUGCUUCUAUUAUGUUUAUUUGGCUUCAACAUUACCUAUAGCAAGAUGCAUUUUUUUCGCUUGUUUUUUUCCCUGCAAGACCUUAUUCCUUGCACUCUUGAGUCUUUUGAGAAGGAGAAAAUUAUUGUUGGGAGGGAAAAAGACUGAUCAUGAGUUCCUGAAACAGAGUGCAACAGUGAAGAACAAGAGGCUUUUUUGUUGAUGAGUCGGCCUAAAUAUAUUUUAGAUGAUUGCCAAAAAGUUGUUAUUGAAGGAUUGGAGUCAAGCUUAGGAUCAGUUUAUCCUAUGGGUCUGUACUACAAGGUUGAGUGCGUCAACCGACAACGCAGAAAUCAGGUUUAUAGACGAGUGCUUUAUGCCGGGGUGGACGAGCUUCCGUUAGGCCAUUGAUUUCCCAAUGAAGGAGCUUUGAGGCAAGCACUGCAAUGAUGUAUAUUUGUAUAUGGCAUAAUCUGUAGGAACCCUCUCCUUGUUUCCUUUUGUUCUUGGUUUUGCUCCAGUUGAUUACUGCCCUAUGAGAUCUGCACAGACAAAAUUCAUGUUGAUUUGUUUAGUUGUGGCAUGUAUCGCAGCUACACCAGUCUGAUAAUUUAGUCCUCAAAUAAGGUAGUUUCCGUCUCCCCUUUACAUGUGAUGGACAUACGUGCUUGUUGCUUGCCGUUGCUGAAGCGAGGCCUCUUAAGUGUACUUUUGUGUUCUCCCUGAUUAUGUUAAUCAGGCCGUAUGUGUUCUGUUGGUCUAUUUUCAUUUGUCUACCUCUACAGAAUUUCAAAGAUGUAAUUUUCUAUCAUGUAGUUGCCUCUUUCUUCAUAUACUAACCCUCUCCUAAAUGAUAGAUGAGGCAGGUGACUUAUCUCAUGUAUUUUCUUUUCUGUAAAUUACAACAAGUCUAUUUUAGUCAACUUAAGGGUAUGUUGAAUAUGACUGUUAAUGAAGAUAGUCAUUCUUGUUA
Triticum dicoccoides is the source of this 1132-nucleotide long non-coding RNA. RefSeq lists it as uncharacterized. Lineage: Eukaryota; Viridiplantae; Streptophyta; Magnoliopsida; Poales; Poaceae. The record is from RefSeq and is a predicted model, not a curated record. The transcript has 2 exons.